RNAcentral lists this ribosomal RNA (468 nucleotides) under uncultured bacterium. Its description in RNAcentral is "partial 16S ribosomal RNA". It matches the Rfam family "Bacterial small subunit ribosomal RNA", at positions 28 to 507 of the family's 1533-position model. The record is from RNAcentral.
GACGAACGCUGGCGGCGUGCUUAACACAUGCAAGUCGAACGGAAAGGCCCUGCUUUUGUGGGGUGCUCGAGUGGCGAACGGGUGAGUAACACGUGAGUAACCUGCCCUUGACUUUGGGAUAACUUCAGGAAACUGGGGCUAAUACCGGAUAGGAGCUCCUGCUGCAUGGUGGGGGUUGGAAAGUUUCGGCGGUUGGGGAUGGACUCGCGGCUUAUCAGCUUGUUGGUGGGGUAGUGGCUUACCAAGGCUUUGACGGGUAGCCGGCCUGAGAGGGUGACCGGCCACAUUGGGACGGAGAUACGGCCCAGACUCCUACGGGAGGCAGCAGUGGGGAAUAUUGCACAAUGGGCGGAAGCCUGAUGCAGCCACGCCGCGUGCGGGAUGACGGCCUUCGGGUUGUAAACCGCUUUCGCCUGUGACGAAGCGUGAGUGACGGUAAUGGGUAAAGAAGCACCGGCUAACUACGUG